Molecule: ribosomal RNA, 2196 nt
Filed under: Salinimicrobium sp. TH3
Lineage: Bacteria; Pseudomonadati; Bacteroidota; Flavobacteriia; Flavobacteriales; Flavobacteriaceae
Description: partial 23S ribosomal RNA
Rfam family: Bacterial large subunit ribosomal RNA
Source: RNAcentral
CCUGGAGCCGUAGCGAAAGCGAGUCUGAAUAGGGCGACUAUAGUUGGUAGUGUUAGACGCGAAACCGUGUGAUCUACCCUUGGGCAGGUUGAAGCUGUGGUAACACAUAGUGGAGGACCGAACCCGUUGACGUUGAAAAGUCUUGGGAUGACCUGAGGGUAGGGGUGAAAGGCCAAUCAAACUCGGAAAUAGCUCGUACUCCCCGAAAUGCAUUUAGGUGCAGCGAUUAAUUAGUUUUAUAGAGGUAGAGCUACUGAUUGGAUGCGGGGGCUUCACCGCCUACCAAUUCCUGACAAACUCCGAAUGCUAUAAAAUGAUGUUGAUCAGUGAGGGCAUGGGUGCUAAGGUCCAUGUCCGAGAGGGAAAGAACCCAGACCAUCAGCUAAGGUCCCCAAAUGUAUGUUAAGUUGAAAAAACGCGGUUGAACUGCUUAGACAGCUAGGAUGUUGGCUUGGAAGCAGCCAUUCAUUUAAAGAGUGCGUAACAGCUCACUAGUCGAGCGGUUCGGCAUGGAUAAUAAUCGGGCAUAAACAUACUACCGAAGCUAUGGAUUUAUAACAUUAGUUAUAAGUGGUAGGGGAGCAUUGUAACAGCGUAGAAGGUGUAUCCGCGAGGUAUGCUGGAGCGGUUACAAAAGAAAAUGUAGGCAUAAGUAACGAUAAUGCGGGCGAGAAACCCGCACACCGAAAGACUAAGGUUUCCUCAGCUAUGCUAAUCAGCUGAGGGUUAGUCGGGGCCUAAGGCGAACCCGAAAGGGGUAGUCGAUGGACAACCAGUUAAUAUUCUGGUACCUGCUUUGCGUUAAAAGUGACGGAGGCGAGAAUUAGGUGCGCACUGACGGAAUAGUGCGUUGAAGGAUGUGGUAACACUCCGAUAGUACACCAAAGCUUCGGCGGCGGUGAUAAUCCUGAAUAUCGACUUCCAAGAAAAGCGAGCAAAAGCAGCCCGUACCGCAAACCGACACAGGUAGUUGGGAUGAGAAUUCUAAGGUGCUCGAGAGAUUCAUGGCUAAGGAACUAGGCAAAAUUGACCCGUAACUUCGGGAGAAGGGUCGCCCAUCCAUUGGAUGGGCCGCAGUGAAGAGGUCCAGGCGACUGUUUAUCAAAAACACAGGGCUCUGCUAAAUCGAAAGAUGAUGUAUAGGGCCUGACACCUGCCCGGUGCUGGAAGGUUAAGAGGAGAUGUUAGCUUCGGCGACGCAUUGAAUUGAAGCCCCAGUAAACGGCGGCCGUAACUAUAACGGUCCUAAGGUAGCGAAAUUCCUUGUCGGGUAAGUUCCGACCUGCACGAAUGGUGCAACGAUCUGGACACUGUCUCAGCCAUGAGCUCGGUGAAAUUGUAGUAUCGGUGAAGAUGCCGAUUACCCGCUGUGGGACGAAAAGACCCCGUGAACCUUUACUAUAGCUUAGUAUUGACUUUGGACAAGUGAUGUGUAGGAUAGGUGGGAGACAUUGAAGCGGUAUCGCCAGGUAUCGUGGAGUCAUUGUUGAAAUACCACCCUUUACUUGUUUGAAGCCUAACUUCCAUUGGAAGGACAGUGCUUGGUGGGUAGUUUGACUGGGGUGGUCGCCUCCAAAAGAGUAACGGAGGCUUCUAAAGGUUCCCUCAGCACGCUUGGUAACCGUGCGUAGAGUGCAAUGGCAUAAGGGAGCUUGACUGAGAGACAUACAGGUCGAUCAGGUACGAAAGUAGAGCAUAGUGAUCCGGUGGUUCCGCAUGGAAGGGCCAUCGCUCAAAGGAUAAAAGGUACUCCGGGGAUAACAGGCUGAUCUCCCCCAAGAGCUCACAUCGACGGGGGGGUUUGGCACCUCGAUGUCGGCUCGUCACAUCCUGGGGCUGGAGAAGGUCCCAAGGGUUGGGCUGUUCGCCCAUUAAAGUGGCACGCGAGCUGGGUUCAGAACGUCGUGAGACAGUUCGGUCUCUAUCUACAGUGGGCGUUAGAAAUUUGAGUGGAUCUGACUCUAGUACGAGAGGACCGAGUUGGACUGACCUCUGGUGUACCAGUUGUUCCGCCAGGAGCACUGCUGGGUAGCUACGUCGGGAAGGGAUAAGCGCUGAAAGCAUAUAAGCGCGAAACCCACCACAAGAUGAGAUUUCUUUUAAGGAUCGUGGGAGACUACCACGUUGAUAGGUCACAGGUGUAAAGGCAGUAAUGUCAUAGCCGAGUGAUACUAAUAAUCCGUAUAGCUUAGUGCA